Molecule: long non-coding RNA, 265 nt
Filed under: Panax ginseng (ginseng)
Lineage: Eukaryota; Viridiplantae; Streptophyta; Magnoliopsida; Apiales; Araliaceae
Description: long non-coding RNA (PGIN_LNC012730)
Source: RNAcentral
GAAUUCACUUCACAUAUGACCGAUCUCACACUUCGGUAACGAUAAAUAUGCAUUACUUUAUUUUGUUCAAGUGUUGAGUUCGGAUUAUAUUAUCAUUGUUCUUAACUGUUAUAUAGUUUGCUUAAUUAUUGACUAACGGUUUAAAAUAAGAGGCACUUGCACAGUUUUCAAGUUGAUUGAUGAUCCAUUAUUGACAAGAAAUGUCCACACAGAAGUAAUAAGGCAUGAAGUUGAUAUUUCAUUAAAUAUUAACUGUUUACAUAAA